Molecule: ribosomal RNA, 232 nt
Filed under: uncultured bacterium
Lineage: Bacteria
Description: partial 16S ribosomal RNA
Rfam family: Bacterial small subunit ribosomal RNA
Source: RNAcentral
UGAGUGACCUGCCGAUUUGUGGGGGAUAGCCGGGCCAACGCCCGGGUAAUACCGCAUACGCUCUUCUUGGGGCAUCUCUAGAAGAGGAAACCUCCGGGGCAAAUCGAGGGACUCGCGGCCUAUCAGCUAGUUGGCGAGGUAACGCUCACCAAGGCUACGACGGGUANCUGGUCUGAGAGGAUGGCCAGCCACAUUGGGACUGAGAUACGGCCCAGACUCCGUACGGGAGCAG